UGGGAAGAGCACCAUGCUGUGAGAAACUUGGGCUCAAAAGAGGAAGAUGGACAGCUGAAGAAGACGAAAUCUUGACCAACUACAUUCAACUUCAUGGAGAAGGCUCUUGGAGAUCUUUACCCAAUAAUGCAGGAUUGCUGAGGUGUGGGAAGAGUUGCAGACUGAGGUGGAUAAAUUAUCUGAGGGCUGACUUAAAGAGAGGGAACAUCACUGCUGAGGAGGAAGAAACCAUUGUUAAGUUACACACUGCUUUGGGUAAUAGGUAUAUAUAUAUAUACCCUCAUUUUUUAAUUAUAUAAAUAUCUUUUUAUAUAGUUCUCUUUGGCCAGCUUUUCUUUCUG
Non-coding RNA from Prunus avium (sweet cherry), 341 nucleotides. Lineage: Eukaryota; Viridiplantae; Streptophyta; Magnoliopsida; Rosales; Rosaceae. The record is from RefSeq and is a predicted model, not a curated record.